Molecule: long non-coding RNA, 610 nt
Organism: Oncorhynchus tshawytscha (Chinook salmon)
Lineage: Eukaryota; Metazoa; Chordata; Actinopteri; Salmoniformes; Salmonidae
Source: Ensembl
CUAGUGACAGUGACUAUUGUGCAGGGCAGAGUACUGUGCGGAAGCCUGCUAGUGAUAGUGACUAUUGUGCAUGGCAGAGUACUGUGCGGAAGCCAGCUAGUGAUAGUGACUAUGGUGCAGGGCAGAGUACUGUGCGGAAGCCAGCUAGUGAUAGUGACUAUGGUGCAGGGCAGAGUACUGUGCGGAAGCCGGCUAGUGAUAGUGACUAUGGUGCAGGGCAGAGUACUGUGCGGAAGCCGGCUAGUGACAGUGACUAUUGUGCAGGGCAGAGUACUGUGCGGAAGCAGGCUAGUGACAGUGAUUAGGGUAUCAGGUAGAGUAUCGGGUGGUGGCUGGCUAGUGACAGUGAUUAUGGUGUCAGGUAGAGUAUCGGGUGGUGGCCGGCUAGUGACAGUGAUUAGGGUGUCAGGUAGAGUAUCGGGUGGUGGCCGGCUAGUGACAGUGAUUAGGGUAUCAGGUAGAGUAUCGGGUGGUGGCUGGCUAGUGACAGUGAUUAUGGUGUCAGGUAGAGUAUCGGGUAGUGGCCGGCUAGUGACAUUGAUUAGGGUAUCAGGUAGAGUAUCGGGUGGUAGCCGGCUAGUGAUGGCUGUUCAACAGUCUGAUGGCCUGG